This 492-nucleotide ribosomal RNA is filed under the name uncultured bacterium. Its description in RNAcentral is "partial 16S ribosomal RNA". It matches the Rfam family "Bacterial small subunit ribosomal RNA", at positions 29 to 507 of the family's 1533-position model. The record is from RNAcentral.
AGUGAACGCUGGCGGUAGGCCUAACACAUGCAAGUCGAACGGCAGCACAGUAAGAGCUUGCUCUUACGGGUGGCGAGUGGCGGACGGGUGAGGAAUACAUCGGAAUCUACUUUUUCGUGGGGGAUAACGUAGGGAAACUUACGCUAAUACCGCAUACGACCUACGGGUGAAAGCAGGGGAUCUUCGGACCUUGCGCGAUUGAAUGAGCCGAUGUGGGAUUAGCUAGUUGGCGGGGUAAAGGCCCACCAAGGCGACGAUCCGUAGCUGGUGUGAGAGGAUGAUCAGCCACACUGGAACUGAGCCACGGUCCAGACUCCUACGAGAGGGAGCAGUGGGGAAUAUUGGACAAUGGGCGCAAGCAUGAUACAGCCAUACCGCGUGGGUGAAGAAGGCCUUCGGGUUGUAAAGACCUUUUGUUGGGAAAGAAAAGCAGCAGGUUAAUACCACGCUGUUCUGACGGUACCCAAAGAAUAAGCACCGGCUAACUUCGUG